CGCUGGCGGCAGGCCUAACACAUGCAAGUCGAGCGGUAGCACAGGAGAGCUUGCUCUCCGGGUGACGAGCGGCGGACGGGUGAGUAAUGUCUGGGAAACUGCCUGAUGGAGGGGGAUAACUACUGGAAACGGUAGCUAAUACCGCAUAACGUCGCAAGACCAAAGUGGGGGACCUUCGGGCCUCAUGCCAUCAGAUGUGCCCAGAUGGGAUUAGCUAGUAGGUGGGGUAAUGGCUCACCUAGGCGACGAUCCCUAGCUGGUCUGAGAGGAUGACCAGCCACACUGGAACUGAGACACGGUCCAGACUCCUACGGGAGGCAGCAGUGGGGAAUAUUGCACAAUGGGCGCAAGCCUGAUGCAGCCAUGCCGCGUGUAUGAAGAAGGCCUUCGGGUUGUAAAGUACUUUCAGCGAGGAGGAAGGCAUUAAGGUUAAUAACCUUAGUGAUUGACGUUACUCGCAGAAGAAGCACCGGCUAACUCCGUGCCAGCAGCCGCGGUAAUACGGAGGGUGCAAGCGUUAAUCGGAAUUACUGGGCGUAAAGCGCACGCAGGCGGUUUGUUAAGUCAGAUGUGAAAUCCCCGGGCUCAACCUGGGAACUGCAUUUGAAACUGGCAAGCUUGAGUCUUGUAGAGGGGGGUAGAAUUCCAGGUGUAGCGGUGAAAUGCGUAGAGAUCUGGAGGAAUACCGGUGGCGAAGGCGGCCCCCUGGACAAAGACUGACGC
Molecule: ribosomal RNA, 723 nt
Filed under: Raoultella sp.
Lineage: Bacteria; Pseudomonadati; Pseudomonadota; Gammaproteobacteria; Enterobacterales; Enterobacteriaceae
Description: bacterial SSU rRNA
Rfam family: Bacterial small subunit ribosomal RNA
Source: RNAcentral